UACUAGAGUAGCACUCGCAUAUCAAUAAGCGGAGGAAAAGAAACUAACAAGGAUUCCCCUAGUAACGGCGAGUGAAGCGGGAAGAGCUCAAAUUUGAAAUCUUAAAGGGUUUCCCUUUACGAAUUGUAGUUUAAAGAAGUGUUUUCUGUUGAGGUUUUGGUAAAAGUUCUUUGGAAUAGGACAUCAUAGAGGGUGAGAAUCCCGUAUUUGACCUUUACUUUCAACUUUGUGAUACACUUUCAAAGAGUCGGAUUGUUUGGGAAUGCAGUCCAAAAUGGGUGGUAAAUUUCAUCUAAAGCUAAAUAUUGGCGAGAGACCGAUAGCGAACAAGUACCGUGAGGGAAAGAUGAAAAGAACUUUGAAAAGAGAGUUAAACAGUACGUGAAAUUGUCAAAAGGGAAGCGUUUGACACCAGUGUUGUUUCUCUGAAAAUCAAUUAAAGAACUGUUUAUGCUAAGUUGUUUAGACUUUAUCAGCUAUCUGUUUAGUUUUGAGCUUUUCUUUAAUGCACUUUUCAGUUAACAAGUCAACAUCAAUUUCUUUUGCUGUAAAAAAGCUUGAGGAAGGUGGCUUGAGAUUCGUCUUAAGUGUUUAUAGCCUCUUGCCUAUGCAGUCGGAGAGAUUGAGGUCUGUAGCGUAGAUCCUUCGGGGCUAAAUGCAUUUGUGCUAAGUUAUAGCAUUUUAUAGACAACUUGUUGACUAUGAUUUGUCUUGUAGCUUACUCGCUUAUGUUAUUUUACCUACGCUUAGGAUGUUGAGUCAUCACACAUCUCU
This 774-nucleotide ribosomal RNA is filed under the name uncultured Neocallimastigales. Its description in RNAcentral is "partial large subunit ribosomal RNA". It matches the Rfam family "Eukaryotic large subunit ribosomal RNA", at positions 20 to 614 of the family's 3401-position model. The record is from RNAcentral. Lineage: Eukaryota; Fungi; Neocallimastigomycota; Neocallimastigomycetes; Neocallimastigales.